CCUACGGGUGGCAGCAGUGGGGAAUAUUGCACAAUGGGGGAAACCCUGAUGCAGUGACGCCGCGUGAGCGAUGAAGUAUUUCGGUAUGUAAAGCUCUAUCAGCAGGGAAGAAAAUGACGGUACCUGACUAAGAAGCCCCGGCUAACUACGUGCCAGCAGCCGCGGUAAUACGUAGGGGGCAAGCGUUAUCCGGAUUUACUGGGUGUAAAGGGAGCGUAGACGGCGGUGCAAGCCAGAUGUGAAAGCCCGGGGCUCAACCCCGGGACUGCAUUUGGAACUGUGCUGCUAGAGUGUCGGAGAGGCAGGCGGAAUUCCUAGUGUAGCGGUGAAAUGCGUAGAUAUCUGGAGGAACAUCAGUGGCGAAGGCGGCCACCUGGACCGGUAUUGACGCUGAGGCGCGAAAGCGUGGGGAGCAAACAGGAUUAGAUACCCCAGUAGUC
Molecule: ribosomal RNA, 440 nt
Filed under: uncultured bacterium
Lineage: Bacteria
Description: partial 16S ribosomal RNA
Rfam family: Bacterial small subunit ribosomal RNA
Source: RNAcentral